Long non-coding RNA from Chenopodium quinoa (quinoa), 787 nucleotides. RefSeq lists it as uncharacterized. The transcript is spliced from 5 exons. The record is from RefSeq and is a predicted model, not a curated record. NCBI's taxonomy places the organism in Eukaryota, Viridiplantae, Streptophyta, Magnoliopsida, Caryophyllales, Amaranthaceae.
UAUUUAAACGCUAUUAAAAGCUUACUUAUAUAGUGGUUUUUAGACAACCGUUGACAAAAGUAAUCAGAUUAGAAAUAAGAACCGCCUAAUUCCUAUUCACUUUCCUCUUCCCACGCAUUACAAACCCCAAUUCCCUUCUCUAUUCUCUGCAAAUUAAGGACUAUUCAAAGAGACACUCAUACCCCUAAUUUUCAGAACCUAAAACCGCUGAUUUCUGCCGGUAAUUUGCAACUCGCUGUUGAGAAAGAUGAAUCUUUUGGUUGUUCUAGUUGUAUUUAAGUUCAUGGUGACGACAUUCAUGAGUCUUCAAUUUUAAGAUGGAGCGAGCAAUGUCUACUACAUUUAGAAAUCUGCAAAUUGACUUUUAUGAGUGUGCUGAAGUAUAGACGACGUUGUGAUAUUCGUCAAGUGGCUGGAUGAUGAGUUGUGCUUCCUUGUUGAUGAGUUGGUUGAGUCUAACUUUAGAAGAUCCAAGAUAUUGGUGUGCUUACACCCUUUCAUCCUCACUUGUUUUUGUCUGAAGAGAGCAUCAUGGUUUUGAGUUUGUUCCCUGGGCAACUACAGUUAGGUUGAAGCAAAGUCGCCAGUGGGUGUGCCUUGUAGUCCAACAAAUGUAUCUAUAAUGAAGGAACUACAAAUAUACUUACAUAAUGUAGUUAUAAAUUAUUUUUUUUUCUUAGAGAACACUUUAUACUUGUAUAUAUUUCAUUAUUUGUUCUAUUAUGGUGACAUUGUGAAACUAAUUUUGUAAGAGUUUGGAGAUUAAUGAAAAAAUUCAAUUUUCAGC